Molecule: microRNA precursor, 200 nt
Filed under: Rehmannia glutinosa
Lineage: Eukaryota; Viridiplantae; Streptophyta; Magnoliopsida; Lamiales; Orobanchaceae
Description: miR7972 stem-loop (rgl-MIR7972)
Source: miRBase by way of RNAcentral
CUGAAUCGAAGGAAAAUUUCAAGCUUGACAAAUACGUCUUCCAUGGCGUCCGUCCCAAACCAGUCUUCCUAUAUGUGGAAAGGGUACACAAAGGAAGAAAGGAUACACAAAAGACUAGCAAAAUAGUCCACAAUACUCUUUCCACCAUUUUUAAGGGAGUCAGUCUUAUUUGUCAGGCUUGUUAUUCUCCUUCGAUGGCG